RNAcentral lists this ribosomal RNA (253 nucleotides) under uncultured bacterium. RNAcentral describes it as "partial 16S ribosomal RNA". It matches the Rfam family "Bacterial small subunit ribosomal RNA", at positions 524 to 776 of the family's 1533-position model. The record is from RNAcentral.
UACGUAGGGAGCAAGCGUUGUUCGGAUUUACUGGGCGUAAAGGGCGCGUAGGCGGCAUAUUAAGUCAGCUGUGAAAUCUCCGAGCUUAACUCGGAACUGUCAGCUGAUACUGAUGUGCUUGAGUGCGGAAGGGGCAAUCGGAAUUCUUGGUGUAGCGGUGAAAUGCGUAGAUAUCAAGAGGAACACCUGAGGUGAAGACGGGUUGCUGGGCUGACACUGACGCUGAGGCGCGAAAGCCAGGGGAGCAAACGGG